CAACGCUUUGGCCGAGUGGUUAAGGCUUGUGUCUGCUAAGUACAUGGUGUUUCCCCGCAAGAGUUCGAAUCUCUCAA
RNAcentral lists this transfer RNA (77 nucleotides) under Helianthus annuus (common sunflower). RNAcentral's name for it is "tRNA-Ser". It matches the Rfam family "tRNA". From Rfam's summary of the family: Transfer RNA (tRNA) molecules are approximately 80 nucleotides in length. Their secondary structure includes four short double-helical elements and three loops (D, anti-codon, and T loops). Further hydrogen bonds mediate the characteristic L-shaped molecular structure. tRNAs have two regions of fundamental functional importance: the anti-codon, which is responsible for specific mRNA codon recognition, and the 3' end, to which the tRNAs corresponding amino acid is attached (by aminoacyl-tRNA synthetases). tRNAs cope with the degeneracy of the genetic code in two manners: having more than one tRNA (with a specific anti-codon) for a particular amino acid; and 'wobble' base-pairing, i.e. permitting non-standard base-pairing at the 3rd anti-codon position. Lineage: Eukaryota; Viridiplantae; Streptophyta; Magnoliopsida; Asterales; Asteraceae. The record is from RNAcentral.